RNAcentral lists this ribosomal RNA (673 nucleotides) under uncultured Actinomycetes bacterium. RNAcentral describes it as "bacterial SSU rRNA". It matches the Rfam family "Bacterial small subunit ribosomal RNA", at positions 90 to 776 of the family's 1533-position model. Lineage: Bacteria; Bacillati; Actinomycetota; Actinomycetes. The record is from RNAcentral.
CUCGAGCGGCGAACGGGUGAGUAACACGUGAGUAAUCUGCCCUUGGCUUCGGGAUAGCCACCGGAAACGGUGAUUAAUACCGGAUACGACACAUCACUGCAUGGUGCGUGUGUGGAAAGUUUUUUCGGCCAGGGAUGUGCUCGCGGCCUAUCAGCUUGUUGGUGGGGUAAUGGCCUACCAAGGCUUCGACGGGUAGCCGGCCUGAGAGGGUGACCGGCCACACUGGGACUGAGACACGGCCCAGACUCCUACGGGAGGCAGCAGUGGGGAAUAUUGGACAAUGGGCGGAAGCCUGAUCCAGCAACGCCGCGUGAGGGAUGACGGCCUUCGGGUUGUAAACCUCUUUCAGCACAGACGAAGCGCAAGUGACGGUAUGUGCAGAAGAAGGACCGGCCAACUACGUGCCAGCAGCCGCGGUAAUACGUAGGGUCCGAGCGUUGUCCGGAAUUAUUGGGCGUAAAGGGCUCGUAGGCGGUUUGUCGCGUCGGGAGUGAAAACACCGGGCUUAACUCGGUGCUUGCUUUCGAUACGGGCAGACUAGAGGUAUUCAGGGGAGAACGGAAUUCCUGGUGUAGCGGUGAAAUGCGCAGAUAUCAGGAGGAACACCGGUGGCGAAGGCGGUUCUCUGGGAAUAUCCUGACGCUGAGGAGCGAAAGUGUGGGGAGCGAACAGG